Molecule: transfer RNA, 87 nt
Filed under: Lysobacteraceae bacterium
Lineage: Bacteria; Pseudomonadati; Pseudomonadota; Gammaproteobacteria; Lysobacterales; Lysobacteraceae
Description: tRNA-Leu
Rfam family: tRNA
About the family: Transfer RNA (tRNA) molecules are approximately 80 nucleotides in length. Their secondary structure includes four short double-helical elements and three loops (D, anti-codon, and T loops). Further hydrogen bonds mediate the characteristic L-shaped molecular structure. tRNAs have two regions of fundamental functional importance: the anti-codon, which is responsible for specific mRNA codon recognition, and the 3' end, to which the tRNAs corresponding amino acid is attached (by aminoacyl-tRNA synthetases). tRNAs cope with the degeneracy of the genetic code in two manners: having more than one tRNA (with a specific anti-codon) for a particular amino acid; and 'wobble' base-pairing, i.e. permitting non-standard base-pairing at the 3rd anti-codon position.
Source: RNAcentral
GCCUGGAUGGUGAAAUCGGUAGACACAAGGGACUUAAAAUCCCUCGGCCGCGAGGUCAUGCGGGUUCGACUCCCGCUCCAGGCACCA